UAAUAACCUGAGACCUGACGAUGAUCAAAGGUUUGAAAAUCCAGUAAUGCAUCAUGUCCCAGCACCACCAGUCAAUGAACCGAAUAGAAAUUUUAUUCACCCAGUCAAUGAUGAGAUCGGUGGCAAUGUCGAUCGUACAAACGAUCGGCGUUGGACUCAUUUAUACGGAGAAGUAUACAUACGAACUGAUAGACUUCGUUUUCUUCGUCCAGUUCCUCCAAGAGCUAAAACUGCCAGUUCGUAGCUGAUAAAAAUGCUAGUUCCUCAAGAAGUUUUACAAACUCAUUCUGUUUCUGGUAAAAAAUCUCCAGCUUUUCCAGAUAGAGAUGCCAAACCACCCCUGGAUCCAAGAUUAAUUGAAGCUAUAUAUCAAUAUGUCAUUACUCAUGUUGAACCAGGAGCACGAAAGUCGUCCGUUACAAGUGGAAUAACAUAUGCCUGUAACAAUUCAACUAGAAACAACCGUAGAAUUGCU
Aphidius gifuensis is the source of this 475-nucleotide long non-coding RNA. RefSeq lists it as uncharacterized. The record is from RefSeq and is a predicted model, not a curated record. Lineage: Eukaryota; Metazoa; Arthropoda; Insecta; Hymenoptera; Braconidae. The transcript is spliced from 3 exons.